RNAcentral lists this ribosomal RNA (420 nucleotides) under uncultured Bacteroides sp. RNAcentral describes it as "bacterial SSU rRNA". It matches the Rfam family "Bacterial small subunit ribosomal RNA", at positions 356 to 774 of the family's 1533-position model. The record is from RNAcentral. Lineage: Bacteria; Pseudomonadati; Bacteroidota; Bacteroidia; Bacteroidales; Bacteroidaceae.
AGGGAAUCUUCCACAAUGGACGAAAGUCUGAUGGAGCAACGCCGCGUGAGUGAUGAAGGUUUUCGGAUCGUAAAACUCUGUUGUAAGGGAAUAAAGUGAGGCACGUGUGCCUUAUUGUAUGUACCUUAGGAAUAAGCAUCGGCUAACUCCGUGCCAGCAGCCGCGGUAAUACGGAGGAUGCAAGCGUUAUCCGGAUUUAUUGGGUUUAAAGGGAGCGUAGGCGGACUAUUAAGUCAGCUGUGAAAGUUUACGGCUCAACCGUGAAAUUGCAGUUGAAACUGGUCGUCUUGAGUGCAGUAAAGGUGGGCGGAAUUCGUGGUGUAGCGGUGAAAUGCUUAGAUAUCACGAAGAACUCCAAUUGCGAAGGCAGCUCACUGGAGUGUAACUGACGCUGAUGCUCGAAAGUGUGGGUAUCAAACA